UACAGAGGGUGCAAGCGUUAAUCGGAAUUACUGGGCGUAAAGCGUGCGUAGACGGUUAUUUAAGUCAGGUGUGAAAGCCCCGGGCUCAACCUGGGAAUUGCAUUUGAGACUGAAUAGCUAGGGUGCGGAAGAGGGGAGCGGAAUUUCCGGUGUAGCGGUGAAAUGCGUAGAUAUCGGAAGGAACACCAGUGGCGAAAGCGGCUUCCUGGUCCAGCACCGACGUUCAGGCACGAAAGCGUGGGGAGCAAACAGG
RNAcentral lists this ribosomal RNA (253 nucleotides) under uncultured bacterium. Its description in RNAcentral is "partial 16S ribosomal RNA". It matches the Rfam family "Bacterial small subunit ribosomal RNA", at positions 524 to 776 of the family's 1533-position model. The record is from RNAcentral.